RNAcentral lists this small RNA (79 nucleotides) under Rhodanobacter sp. SCN 69-32. RNAcentral's name for it is "sX9 sRNA". It matches the Rfam family "Xanthomonas sRNA sX9". RNAcentral also lists the same sequence under 2 other names. Lineage: Bacteria; Pseudomonadati; Pseudomonadota; Gammaproteobacteria; Lysobacterales; Rhodanobacteraceae. The record is from RNAcentral.
AUGUACCGCUCGUACACUCCGGUUCCUGCGCGCCGCCCGCCGCAAGCUUCCUUCGCUCGCUACGGUUUUCGGGCAGGCC